GCCUGCUAUGUGUCAUACAAUCAUCACUCAAUGUCUAUAUGUGGCUACAAGUCGAUGAGAAUUCCAACAAAUCAAAAAACAGUUCAACUUGCAAUUUUACCUCAGUGUCAGCUGAUGACAUCAGAGGAGUGCUUUUAGAGAGAGACCAACUUCUUCGAGAGAAAGAGCAGCUGAAUCAAUUUAUAGAUCAGCUGCUGCAGACUAAAGACAAACUGCUUGAAGAGAACAGUCAACUGAAUCAAGAGAACAGUCAAUUGAAUCAACAUAAAGAUCAGCUCAUUCAAGAGAAAGACAAGCUGCUUGAAGAGAACAGUCAACUGAAUCAAGAGAACAGUCAACUGAAUCAAGAGAACAGUCAAUUGAAUCAACAUAAAGAUCAGUUCAUUCAAGAGAAAGACAAGCUGCUUGAAGAGAACAGUCAAAUGAAUCAACAUAUUGAUCAGCUCAUUCAAGAGAAAGACAAACUGCUUGAAGAAAACAGCAGACUGAAUCAAGCGCUACCAAACCUUCCAAGAUGUUCCCCGGGAUGGAAAAGAUUAAGGUCAAGCUGCUACCGCCUUUCCUCUUUUAAAUCCACCUGGGAGGAUGCCAAACAAAACUGCGAGAGGCUUGGAGCUCAUUUGGUGAUUAUCAGUGAUGAUGCAG
This is a long non-coding RNA of Astatotilapia calliptera (eastern happy), 645 nucleotides long. The record is from Ensembl. Lineage: Eukaryota; Metazoa; Chordata; Actinopteri; Cichliformes; Cichlidae.